UACGGAGGGUGCAAGCGUUGUUCGGAAUUACUGGGCGUAAAGCGCACGUAGGCGGUUUUGUAAGCCAAUUGUGAAAGCCCCGGGCUUAACCCGGGAAUGGCAGUUGGUACUGCAAAUCUUGAAUACCUGAGAGGGUGGGGGAAUUCCUGGUGUAGAAGUGAAAUUCGUAGAUAUCAGGAGGAACACCGGAGGCGAAGGCGCCUGCCUGGCAGUGUAUUGACGCUGAGGUGCGAAAGCGUGGGGAGCAAAC
This 250-nucleotide ribosomal RNA is filed under the name uncultured bacterium. RNAcentral's name for it is "partial 16S ribosomal RNA". It matches the Rfam family "Bacterial small subunit ribosomal RNA", at positions 524 to 773 of the family's 1533-position model. The record is from RNAcentral.